UACAGAGGUCCCAAGCGUUGUUCGGAUUCACUGGGCGUAAAGGGCGCGUAGGCGGCCUGUUAAGUCGAACGUGAAAUCCCUAGGCUCAACCUAGGAACUGCGUCCGAUACUGGCAGGCUUGAAUCCGGGAGAGGGAUGCGGAAUUCCAGGUGUAGCGGUGAAAUGCGUAGAUAUCUGGAGGAACACCGGUGGCGAAGGCGGCAUCCUGGACCGGCAUUGACGCUGAGGCGCGAAAGCCAGGGGAGCAAACGGG
This 253-nucleotide ribosomal RNA is filed under the name uncultured bacterium. RNAcentral's name for it is "partial 16S ribosomal RNA". It matches the Rfam family "Bacterial small subunit ribosomal RNA", at positions 524 to 776 of the family's 1533-position model. The record is from RNAcentral.